CCCAAGCUAAAAGAUGUGGCAUCAGGAGUGUCCUGCAGACGAUCGGGAUGGGAUAUUGGAGUUGAGUUCCUCACUGAUUUUGUGGUGAUAAAGACCCAGGGUAUGGUAUACCUUCAGUGCUUCAUGCCAUGUCCUGGGCAUAUAAAGGAUGCUCGGUCAUUUGUUCAGCACCUCAACCACGUGAACCAUGGCUUAAGAAUCAGGAAAUAAGAGUCUGAAUCGCCAAAUUACAGACCCAAAGUCCACGCACCACAAUCAUCUAUUUCAUAAAAGAGGUAAGAUUGAUACUAUCUCAACUAUGGUGAGAAAGUCCACAUGAGAAAUCUUAUGUCUGAAAUGCAAAAAGGGAGCAGCUUUCCAAGUGAUUGGCAUUAUAUGGAUAUUAACGUUACUGCAUUAUUUUACACUUGGAAUAGGGACAGAUUUUUAAAAAGAGAAACUAAUCUAAAAUUACAAUGUCAGGA
Molecule: long non-coding RNA, 464 nt
Organism: Balaenoptera acutorostrata (minke whale)
Lineage: Eukaryota; Metazoa; Chordata; Mammalia; Artiodactyla; Balaenopteridae
Exons: 4
Source: RefSeq, a predicted model, not a curated record